This is a non-coding RNA of Phrynosoma platyrhinos (Desert horned lizard), 71 nucleotides long. The record is from the annotation of a GenBank genome assembly. Lineage: Eukaryota; Metazoa; Chordata; Lepidosauria; Squamata; Phrynosomatidae.
GCCAGUGUGGUGCAGUGGCUUGAACAUUGGACUAUGGCUCUGGAGAUCAGAGUUCAAUUCUCCGCUUGACC